UACGAAGGGGGCUAGCGUUGUUCGGAUUUACUGGGCGUAAAGCGCACGUAGGCGGAUUGGUCAGUUAGGGGUGAAAUCCUGGAGCUCAACUCCAGAACUGCCUUUAAUACUGCCAGUCUCGAGUCCGGAAGAGGUAAGUGGAACUCCUAGUGUAGAGGUGGAAUUCGUAGAUAUUAGGAAGAACACCAGUGGCGAAGGCGGCUUACUGGUCCGGUACUGACGCUGAGGUGCGAGAGCGUGGGGAGCAAACAGG
RNAcentral lists this ribosomal RNA (253 nucleotides) under uncultured bacterium. RNAcentral describes it as "partial 16S ribosomal RNA". It matches the Rfam family "Bacterial small subunit ribosomal RNA", at positions 524 to 776 of the family's 1533-position model. The record is from RNAcentral.